GACAUAGGUGGCGAACGUUAUCCGGAUUUAUUGGGCGUAAAGGAUGCGUAGAUGGUGGAAUAAGUUAUUGGUCAAAGUCAAGCUCAACUUGGCGGAAGCUGGUAAUACUAUUCUACUUGAGGAUAGGAGAGGUUGGCGGAAUUCUGUGUGGAGCGGUGAAAUGCGUUGAUCUACAGAGGAACACCAAAAAAGGCGAAGGCAGCCAACUAUUCUAUCCCUGACAUUGAGGCAUGAAAGCGUGGGGAGCAAACCGG
This 254-nucleotide ribosomal RNA is filed under the name uncultured bacterium. RNAcentral's name for it is "partial 16S ribosomal RNA". It matches the Rfam family "Bacterial small subunit ribosomal RNA", at positions 524 to 776 of the family's 1533-position model. The record is from RNAcentral.